UGACGAAGCUAAAUCAGCAUUAACCUUUUAAGUUAAAGACUGGGACCCGCUACUCCCCUCAAUG
This 64-nucleotide transfer RNA is filed under the name Diphylla ecaudata (Hairy-legged vampire bat). Its description in RNAcentral is "tRNA-Lys". The record is from RNAcentral. Lineage: Eukaryota; Metazoa; Chordata; Mammalia; Chiroptera; Phyllostomidae.